RNAcentral lists this ribosomal RNA (457 nucleotides) under uncultured bacterium. RNAcentral describes it as "bacterial SSU rRNA". It matches the Rfam family "Bacterial small subunit ribosomal RNA", at positions 338 to 795 of the family's 1533-position model. The record is from RNAcentral.
CCUANGGGGGGCUGCAGUGAGGAAUAUUGCGCAAUGGCCGAAAGGCUGACGCAGCGACGCCGCGUGAAGGAUGAAGUCCGUUAGGACGUAAACUUCUUUUACAGGGGAUGAAUGUUCCGGUUUCCGGAAUUGACCGUACCCUGCGAAUAAGGAUCGGCCAACUACGUGCCAGCAGCCGCGGUAAUACGGGCGGGGCGAGCGUUGUUCGGAUUUAUUGGGCGUAAAGAGCGCGUAGGCGGCUGUUUAAGUCUGGUGUGAAAACUCCACCGCUUAACGGGGAGCAUGCACUGGAAACUGGACAGCUUGAGACUGUGAGAGGUAAGCGGAAUUCCUGGUGUAGCGGUGAAAUGCGUAGAUAUCAGGAAGAACACCAGUGGCGAAGGCGGCUUACUGGCACUGUUCUGACGCUGAGGCGCGAAAGCGUGGGGAGCAAACAGGAUUAGAUACCCGGNUANUC